CUCUGCUGUUGAGGAAGCCCUGGCUGUGCAAUAAUGGGGCUGGGGGGCAGCGCAGACAGAUUCCAUUACUGAGGCAACAUCUUUACAGCAUUAUCUCUGCCAAUCGUGAGAUAAAUGUGGCCUCCCUUUUCUGGGAUUUCAGGAUUUCAGGCUAUAUCCCUUGGAGAUUUGGGAAAGUAACAGCAAAAAUUGGUACCCUCUCCAAAGGGACAAGAUGAG
Molecule: long non-coding RNA, 219 nt
Organism: Trachemys scripta elegans
Lineage: Eukaryota; Metazoa; Chordata; Testudines; Emydidae
Exons: 3
Source: RefSeq, a predicted model, not a curated record